Callorhinus ursinus (northern fur seal) is the source of this 269-nucleotide non-coding RNA. The record is from RefSeq and is a predicted model, not a curated record. NCBI's taxonomy places the organism in Eukaryota, Metazoa, Chordata, Mammalia, Carnivora, Otariidae.
AUAAGGAGAUGAGUCAUCUGAGAGCGGACAUUUGAAGAGACAGGCUCUGUGUCACAUGAAUCUGAGCAUUGGAGCCCACUCCUUUUGGAGAGUCGGACUGAGGAGCUCAAAUGGGACGAGAUAAGAUUCAGAAAUCCAAACAUAUUGCCUCUAUACCUUCAGUCAUUUUGAUUCUUGGAUAAAGUGAUCAACGAAAGUGGAACAUUCCUGGCAGGAAGGCACCACAGAUAGAGAUCUGGGAGGGCUGACUCUGGCAAAAAUUCUUACCC